AGCGACCGACCCUACGUGGGGGGAAGGUAGCCGGCCCAACGGCCGGGUAAUACCGCAUACGCUCUGGCAGUUGCCUGGGUGCCAGAGGACAGCUGCGGGGGCAACCCCGUGGCGCCAGAGGACGGGCUCGCGGCCUAUCAGCUAGUUGGUGUGGGUAACGGCCCACCAAGGCGACGACGGGUAGCUGGUCUGAGAGGAUGGCCAGCCACAUUGGGACUGAGAAACGGCCCAG
This 232-nucleotide ribosomal RNA is filed under the name uncultured bacterium. RNAcentral describes it as "partial 16S ribosomal RNA". It matches the Rfam family "Bacterial small subunit ribosomal RNA", at positions 120 to 334 of the family's 1533-position model. The record is from RNAcentral.